This 79-nucleotide small nuclear RNA is filed under the name Fukomys damarensis (Damara mole-rat). RNAcentral describes it as "U2 spliceosomal RNA". It matches the Rfam family "U2 spliceosomal RNA", at positions 1 to 105 of the family's 192-position model. Rfam says of the family: U2 is a small nuclear RNA (snRNA) component of the spliceosome (involved in pre-mRNA splicing). The record is from Rfam by way of RNAcentral. Lineage: Eukaryota; Metazoa; Chordata; Mammalia; Rodentia; Bathyergidae.
AUUGCUUCUCAGCCUUUUGGCUAAGAUCAAGUGUAGUAAAUACAUUGCUAAAAAAAGAAAAUUUUUUAAAUUAUUUAUU